AACUUCCUAAAUCUGUGCCAAGAUUUUGUGAAACACCUACCUACUGGGUCUAGUAAAACUUCUAAGAUUAGCGAAGUG
Molecule: non-coding RNA, 78 nt
Organism: Schistosoma margrebowiei
Lineage: Eukaryota; Metazoa; Platyhelminthes; Trematoda; Strigeidida; Schistosomatidae
Source: Rfam